RNAcentral lists this ribosomal RNA (1473 nucleotides) under Triticum aestivum (bread wheat). Its description in RNAcentral is "partial small subunit ribosomal RNA". Lineage: Eukaryota; Viridiplantae; Streptophyta; Magnoliopsida; Poales; Poaceae. The record is from RNAcentral.
AUGGCGCCCAAGCGCUCCGCCGCCACGGCGUGGGGGUCCCCGUCCGACGCCUCCGACGCGGAGGGCGACGCGGGCCACGGCCGCCGCGACCGCGACGACCCCCCCUCUGACACCGACCCCUCCAAGACCCCGCCGCCCAACCCUAACCCUAAGUCGUCCGCCGCCGCGCCCUCCUCCACCCCCUCCGUCGCGGCCGACUCCGCCGCCGCCGGAUCCGACUCCGGGGGCACCUACGACUCCGACGCCGAGGCGCACCGCCGCCCCGCGCCCAAGCCCGCCGCCUCCUCGCCCAAGCCCGGCGGCAAGCCCAGGGCGCGCUCCCCCGGCAUCAACUCCGACUCCUACAACUCCGAGGACUCCGACGCCGAGGCCGACCGCCGUCUCGCCGCUCCCAAGGCCGCCCCCUCGUCGCCCAAGCCCGGCGGCAAGCCCAGGGCGCGCUCCCCCGGCAUCAACUCCGACUCCGAGGACUCCGCCGCGCCCGUGGCCUCGGACGCCGACCUCGACCCGGCCGCCGGCGCCGACUCUGAAGACGACAACGUCUCGCCGCUCCGCUCCGCGCGCCGCCCCCGCGCGGAGGCAUCCAUCAUCAAACCCAUCAGCUCCCGCCCCAUGGACUCGCCGCCCCGCGGCAGCGCCUCUGCCUCGGAGCCGCGCGUCAAGCGCCCCCGCAGCGCCGCCAUAUCAGCGCCCUCUCCGGACCCGCUGAAGCGCCCGUCGCGGCUCUGGAGCCAUGGCGACGAGCUUCUCAUCCUGCGCGGCCUCGCCACAUACCGCGCCAAGAGCGGCGUGCUCCCUGGUUCCACCAAUGACAUCGGUAAGCUCCACAGCCACAUCCGUGCCCAGCUCAGUGUUAGGGUAUCCACCACGCAGCUCAGUGACAAGGUCCGGCGCCUCAAGCAGAAGUACCAGUUACUUGCCACCCGUGCCAAGAAUGGACGGGAGCAAGAAUUGCACACUCCUCAUGACCGCAGCAUCUAUGAGCAUGCCAAGAAGGUUUGGGGGUUGGUUGGUAGUGGUGGUGGUGAUGGAGGAGGCAGUGGGUAUGAGAAUUAUGGUGGUGGUGAUAGUGAUGAAUUGCAAUACAGCGGAGAUAGUGAUGAUGAUAUGGAGAGUCAGCGGGAUGACCGCUACCACAUCAAGAACCGGAAGGUGAGGCCAAUUACAGCGGCCAAUGGCAAUGGGAUUGGGCUUGGGGCUGUCAAUGCCAAUGGCAGAGGGAAAAGCGGGCUUGAGAAGGGGAAGGAUGCAUAUCCCUACCUGUGGGAGACUGUUGAGGAGCUGUCCAAGGAGCAUCCGAGUGGUGCGGCAUUCAAGAAGGCAUUUGAGGUGCUCGAAGGAUCAAAAGCGCGGGCCAUUGAGGAAAAGCUGAGGAGGUUUAGGUUGACGGAGAUCAGACAGCAGCUGCGUAGGAUGGACCUGAUGAAGGAGACGGUGAGGAUGGUGCUCGAUGCCCUUGAGAGUGCUGACUGA